Long non-coding RNA from Xiphophorus maculatus (southern platyfish), 1364 nucleotides. RefSeq lists it as uncharacterized. The transcript is spliced from 3 exons. The record is from RefSeq and is a predicted model, not a curated record. Lineage: Eukaryota; Metazoa; Chordata; Actinopteri; Cyprinodontiformes; Poeciliidae.
UUAAUAUAAAGGUUAUUUAUAAUUAUCAUCGGUCUCCUCUGAUUAAUUGUAUAAAAUAGUAAAUAUUUAAACUGCACAUUUGGCUGUUAGUUAUACCUUUUUAAAUUAUUUUUUAUUUUACAUUAGAUGUGUGGUUUUAUACAGGUUAUAAGCGGGUCGCUGCUGCUGGGCUUGUUUUCAUCGAGUUGGUUGCUUGUUAUUCUGUUGAGAUCUGGCAACGCGCGGCUCAGCGGAACCGCAGAACCGCGGAGUGAGGAACCAACCGAGGCUCCAACGGCACGAAUUCAUUCACCGACUUCCGUUUUUUUCCGGCCCGGUCGACAUUUCGUAACCGUGUUCUGGAGCCGAAACCCGAACCGGAGAAGACGGAGCGCGGAUGCGGCGGCGUGAGGAAAUGUAACGGCGCUUCCGUGACGUCGGAGCGGCAGCUCCAGCCGCGGCGGCCCGCUGUCCGCCGCGGCCUGUCCGCCGCAGGAAGCGCUCUGCCCGGGUGUGAAGACCGGAGCGCAGCGCUGCCUCUGAAUGUUACCCCCAGAACGUUCCAGACUGUCAGGAACAUUCCUGCCCCAUUCCAGUUCCAGGCAACUCCCUGGGAUGUUGCAGCUGCAGCAGCAAGGUAAGAGUGAACCGUCCUCCUGCUGAACCAACCGGUUCCUGAUCGCCUGCAGCAUGUGGAAGGAGAACUCAGCUCUUUGUCUGCAGCCGGUUAAACCUCUGAUCAUGUUGCUUACAGAGUUUUCUGUAGAUUCGGCGUCAGAUUCUUUGAAAGGGCGCGACCCAGAGUCUACCCUGUGAGUUUAGCCUUCAAUGAGGCGGAGUUUUGAUUAAAAUUACGUUUUAGUCGUAAACGUCUGGGAAGCUGUUUGUGUUUCAGUGAAACUCUCCAUGUUUACAGCAGCUGAAGCUGCUCUGUAUGUCAACAACAUUUUAUAACUAAAUUACUACACAAGCUGUAAAGAUUUGUGUUCACAACUCUGCAGCUGGAGGCAACAUAAAGCAUGUGUGUGAAUUUAUCUUCCUGUGUGUUUCUAAUGAAUCAGUGAGAAUAAUAAUAGUUUUUAGUUUUUAGCUUCAUUUUUACUGUUUAGAGUUCAGUUCAAAUCUGAGUUGCUGCUACAGAGACCAGCAAAUUGAGCUUUAACAUGUUUUUAUGUCGCAGUCAUAAACUUCUGUCUUUUACUGAGAUUUUAUAAGUUCGACCAAAACAAAGUCAUUCAUUCACUACAUGCUUUAGUUUUCAGCUCCUCUGUAGAAACGUUGAAACUUCUUCCACUGCGACUAUUUGUAUAUUUUUACUCCAGAUUUAUAACCUACAUUGUGUUGAUUUGUGUCAUAAAAUCCCAAUAAAACAUGUUUUCAGUUUA